UUAAUUGAAGCCAAAUAGAGGCACUUUAGUGUUAAUAAAGUAAUUGAAUUUUAAUUCCAAUUAAA
This 65-nucleotide transfer RNA is filed under the name Diceroprocta semicincta. RNAcentral's name for it is "tRNA-Asn". The record is from RNAcentral. Lineage: Eukaryota; Metazoa; Arthropoda; Insecta; Hemiptera; Cicadidae.